This 75-nucleotide transfer RNA is filed under the name Parcubacteria group bacterium ADurb.Bin216. RNAcentral's name for it is "tRNA-Pro". It matches the Rfam family "tRNA". Rfam says of the family: Transfer RNA (tRNA) molecules are approximately 80 nucleotides in length. The record is from RNAcentral.
CUAAGUGUGGCCGAGCGGUAAGGCACUUGUUUUGGGAACAAGACUACGAAGGUUCAAAUCCUUCCACUUAGACCA